RNAcentral lists this ribosomal RNA (460 nucleotides) under uncultured bacterium. RNAcentral's name for it is "partial 16S ribosomal RNA". It matches the Rfam family "Bacterial small subunit ribosomal RNA", at positions 338 to 795 of the family's 1533-position model. The record is from RNAcentral.
CCUACGGGAGGCAGCAGUGAGGAAUAUUUGUCAAUGGGCGCGAGCCUGAACCAGCCAAUUAGCUUGAAGGAUGACUGCCCUACGGGUUGUACACUUCUUUUAUAAAGAAAUAAAGUGAGGCACGUGUGCCUUUUUGUAUGUAGUUUAUGAAUAAGGAUCGGCUAACGCCGUGCAAGCAGCUGCGUUAAUACGGAGGAUCCGAGCGUUAUCCGGAUUUAUUGGGUUGAAAGGGCGCGUAGAUGGGUUGUUAAGUCAGUUGUGAAAGUUUGCGGCUCAACCGUAAAAUUGCAAUUGAUACUGGCAGUCUUGAGUAUAGUUGAGGUAGGCGGAAUUCGUGGUGUAGCGGUGAAAUGCUUAGAUAUCACGAAGAACUCCGAUUGCGAAGGCAGCUUACUAAACUGCCACUGACAUUGAUGCUCGAAAGUGUGGGUAUCAAACAGGAUUAGAUACCCUUGUAGUC